This is a long non-coding RNA of Trifolium pratense (red clover), 839 nucleotides long. RefSeq lists it as uncharacterized. The record is from RefSeq and is a predicted model, not a curated record. NCBI's taxonomy places the organism in Eukaryota, Viridiplantae, Streptophyta, Magnoliopsida, Fabales, Fabaceae. The transcript is spliced from 6 exons.
UCACCGAAAAUUCAAACCCUUCACUACAAAUUUAAAACCCUAACUUUCAUAGAAAUUGAACCCCUUCAGUAAAACUAGAAAAUUUGAACUGUUCCCUUCGCUGCAAACUUCGAAGGAAUUGAUUGCAAACUUGGAGGCUACUCAUUCAUAUGAUUGCUACCUUGUGUACAUUCUCACUGAAAUGGCUGGAAGUACAUCAAAUGACUGAAAUAGUGUUCACUCGGACAUGUGAUGCAACUCAUCUUCUUGCUUUGAUUCUUAGGAAUCUCGAUUUGAAAGCCAUCCCAAUUAAUGGUCAUGUGAGUCAGGUAUUUCCUGUUGCUCAAAAGGAAUUUUGUGGAUUCAAUCCUUUUACAACAUUUGUGUGCUAUAGAAUUAUUUUAUAAUAUGAGGUUCUACACAAACUUAUAAGCUAUGAGUUUUGGUACAUCUCUCACUCUUCAUUCUCAAACAUAGGAAAUUCACACAAAGGUUCAAGUUAUUGACAUCUAUCUAGUCUCUUUUUAAUCCACACAAAGGCUUUACAAAAUGCUGCUUAUAAAGCUGAUUGGUAUGUUCUCUAUAUAGUGUGCAGUAUGUCACAAUCUACGGAAGUUGUUCAUGAGGUACGGUUAUAAUUUUAAUGAUAUGCAGUUUCCCCAACACAUUAAGAAGGGAUAUGAAGUUUUUUCAAGACUUAGAAUAAUUCAUUAUUGUGUUGGUUCUCUCUGUGUUAUAAUUGUAAUUAGUUUGUAGUUAGUUACUUAUUUCUUCAUGAGUGAUAUUACCCCUUAAAUUAGUUUGUAAAUUUGUUCUUAUGUAAUUUAAAUUGGGGAAAAUAAAUUACUCUCAUUUGGAUA